Molecule: long non-coding RNA, 2215 nt
Filed under: Mytilus galloprovincialis (Mediterranean mussel)
Lineage: Eukaryota; Metazoa; Mollusca; Bivalvia; Mytilida; Mytilidae
Source: RNAcentral
AGUUGCAUGUGUUCUGUGCCAUCUGGAUUGUGGGGAGGGAUCAUCACCAAAAAUGGUAAAUGGAUGUCCAAGUUGUACAGAAUGCGUCAAAGAUGGUAAGUCAUUGCGAGGUAUAAUUAUAAAUAGAAUGAUUACAAGCAUUUCCACCGGGGUUGUCUUUUCCUGUUUAUUCAAAUAAGGGAAUUUUGAAAAAGUAUUUAAUGUUAGUCAAGUUUACAGCAUAUGACAUUCGUCAUUUUCGUAUUACGAUAUUUGCAAAAUUGACAACUCAAAUUUUGGUAGUUUUUGUAAAAAUUUUAAUUUAACUACACAUAAAAUGUACUUUUUUUUUCUCCGGAGAAAUCAAAUCUAUGUGGUAGAUAAAUUACGUAUUGUAUUUCGGAAAGAUACAAAUAUCAUUUGAACCAAAUUUUUACCAACAUAUAUACAAUUUAAGAUAUUGUAAUUGUUAUUGAUAGCUCUAACCAAUUUGUAUUUUAUGGACAUUGAAAUAAUAAUGUUGAAUUGAAUAAUGUAUUUCUGUUAUACCUCUUUGUAUUAAAAUUCCAAAAUACUGGUAAACCAUUUUUAGAAUAUACGAAAUUUGUUUGGAAUGUUUUUUAUAUGUUUGCACACCGUCCAUGAUAUAAGAAUUCUUAAACAGAAGGAAAACGUAGGAAUUCAGCUGGGUGUACACAAUUUUAACUUUAGAAUAUGCCAAAUAAAUGUGGUUUAAUUUUUAUUUUGAAGCGAAAAGAACUUCACCACCUGGUAAGUUUUACUAACUAUUCAUAUAUUUAUAUAUAUACAGGAAAUUACUAAGAAUACCAAAUUCAGCCUUUGAAAAUAUACCAUCAUGAUUAAGUUUGUUAUACAUUAACAUGUAUACAUAUUAUGAGGGUCAAGAUUGACAGGCUGUUAUAUGUACAUAUAUCUCUUGUUGUCGCAUACAUGGUUGAGACUACAAAAAACACAAACUUUUAAAUACCAAACGAGGACGUGCGUCGACUGACUCCAGCUCUGGACUACUACAAUAUUCUCUUUUUUGAAAUACUUCAAAGUUACGUAUCCUUUUUGUCAUAGAACUACACAUGCACACCUUUCAAAUAUUACCAAUUUGAUGUAUGCUUGUAUUACACCAAGGAAACAAUAGAUGAACACUACUUUUUAAAAGUUAAAACCUUUAUCCUGUUUAAAUAGAAUCGGGUGUAAGCAACGAAUAAAUUUAAUAAGCCGUCUAACGCUGUUAGUAACCCACUCUAUGAAUACUUUUACAUUAGUGGUAAAUAAUUAAAUAAAUGGGGACGUUUAAUCCUAUUUUUCUUGGUACAUGCGGUAGAGAGAAAGUGUAACGCUAUCUAAAAUCCAGAAACCCUUUUAACAACUAUUUGAGUGGUCAUAAUGUGGCCUUUUCCAACGUAGACUGUCUAUAAUUUAAAUCCUCAUUUACUAGUGAUAGUAUGCAUUUCACCGACCUUGAAGUCGGACGGUCUUCAUUACAGGACCUACGUAUUGUAAACUGAACGUUUAGCAGCACAAAAUCAAUCAAUCUGGAAAAAGAUUACCUAAUUAAAGAAAAAAAGAUUACCUAAUUAAAGAUACCUAGAUUAUUUGUUUUAAAGUAAGACCCGUGUUUCAUCUUCAAAACACUUAUAAUUUGUUAAAAUGGUCAUUUAAACUACAAUGUUGAAAAAUAUGGAUGAUCCCAGAUUCCGAGAAAAUUUGUGAAAGUUUGUAAGGCGUUGGUUAUAUCAGAAAAUGUUUUCAAAGUAAGACAGUAUUCAGAUUAGACAUUUAAAUGCAUAAGAAAUAAUUUUACGAACUCGUUGUUUUUUUAUUUUCCUUAUCUGAAGUUUCCAAAUGAAAACAUCGUUAUAGAUUGUGUACAAACCUCUAGAUCUUUUAAGCGAUUAUUUUGUAAAUUAUAUGGAAUCCUUUAAUUUGAGAACUGCAGACAUAUGUAUUUGCUGUUAAAUUAUAAGUUAACUCUUAAUCUAGUAGGACAACUUGCGGGAAAUCUUUUUCUUAUUCGAUGAGCAAUUUGUAUCAUGCAAAACACAGUAUGUUAAAGUAUUUUGUAUUCAGAAAGAGAAAAUAUGCAGUAUCCACUGUGUAAUUUAUGUUCUAGUUGCAUGUGCUCUGUGCCAUCUGGAUUGUGGGGAGGGAUCAUCACCAAAAAUGGUAAAUGGAUGUCCAAGUUGUACAGAAUGCGUCAAAGAUGGUAAGUCAUUGCGAG